UGAAACGUGUAGUGUUUGAGACGAGACGUUAGGUUUCGUUACUCACAAGAAACGGACGUUCGGUUUCGUUACUCACAAGAAACAGACAAGGUGAGGAGAACGUGAGCUCCAAUGUCACUAGGGAUGUUAAUAUGGGUUUUGUUCUGUAGGGUUAGCCCAGCCCGCAUCCAUUUUUUUAACCCGAAGCCCGUUACAUUUUAUGUGGGUUAAAAUAGGACCGUCUAAUAUAACACAUGGGCUAACCCUAAAACCCUUUAUUUUUUUUUUAUUUUUUUUAUGAAAACAAAUCACUGAAAGGCGUUGUUUUAAUUUUUUUUUCUCCAGUUCUUCAUCUUUCUUCGACGAUUCCACAUCGAGAGUUCCGCUUCAUGUGAUCUCAUUUCUUCUCCAGUUCUCCAUUGCCUGAUUGUAAUCCGGAGACACGAUUUCGUCUCCAGUUCUCCAGUCAUCGCCCUCAUCUCUCGCGAUCCUCUGUGUUGUGUCCGUCGAGCAAUCUCUUCUUCUCCUUGACAUCGAGUGGAGUCACGUAGCCAAGUUCUGAGCUUGGAGGAUACAUGUAAUUGUAAAGUCUUCACGAGACUUGUAGUGAAUUAUAUGAAUAAAAAUAUUUAAACUUUGUUUUUUUUCUUCAUAUUUUGAAUUUGGGGACAAAAAUGAAAAACACUUUUUCUAUUUAUAUAAUAAUAUCUUGAGUUUUUACAUA
Molecule: long non-coding RNA, 703 nt
Organism: Brassica rapa (field mustard)
Lineage: Eukaryota; Viridiplantae; Streptophyta; Magnoliopsida; Brassicales; Brassicaceae
Source: RefSeq, a predicted model, not a curated record